AUUGUACUCCUUCUGUCCGAAUAUACUUGUCCGAGGAAUGGAUGUAUCUAGAUGUAUUUUAGUUCUAAAUACAUUCAUUUAUAUCCAUUUUUUCGACAAGUGUUUUCGGACGGAGGGAGUAGCAG
Molecule: non-coding RNA, 125 nt
Organism: Triticum aestivum (bread wheat)
Lineage: Eukaryota; Viridiplantae; Streptophyta; Magnoliopsida; Poales; Poaceae
Source: Rfam